This 68-nucleotide transfer RNA is filed under the name Conus tribblei. RNAcentral's name for it is "tRNA-Val". Lineage: Eukaryota; Metazoa; Mollusca; Gastropoda; Neogastropoda; Conidae. The record is from RNAcentral.
AAAGAUGUAGUAUAAUAAAAUACAUUUCACUUACACUGAAAAUAUAUUUAGGAAGUAAAUCGUCUUUA